RNAcentral lists this ribosomal RNA (495 nucleotides) under uncultured bacterium. RNAcentral's name for it is "partial 16S ribosomal RNA". It matches the Rfam family "Bacterial small subunit ribosomal RNA", at positions 29 to 506 of the family's 1533-position model. The record is from RNAcentral.
AUGAACGCUGGCGGCGUGCCUAAUACCUGCAAGUCGAGCGAACAGACGAGGAGCUUGCUCCUCUGACGUUAGCGGCGGACGGGUGAGUAACACGUGGAUAACCUACCUAUAAGACUGGGAUAACUUCGGGAAACCGGAGCUAAUACCGGAUAAUAUAUUGAACCGCAUGGUUCAAUAGUGAAAGACGGUUUUGCUGUCACUUAUAGAUGGAUCCGCGCCGCAUUAGCUAGUUGGUAAGGUAACGGCUUACCAAGGCAACGAUGCGUAGCCGACCUGAGAGGGUGAUCGGCCACACUGGAACUGAGACACGGUCCAGACUCCUACGGGAGGCAGCAGUAGGGAAUCUUCCGCAAUGGGCGAAAGCCUGACGGAGCAACGCCGCGUGAGUGAUGAAGGUCUUCGGAUCGUAAAACUCUGUUAUUAGGGAAGAACAAAUGUGUAAGUAACUAUGCACGUCUUGACGGUACCUAAGCAGAAAGCCACGGCUAACUACGU